GUGAACGCUGGCGGUAGGCCUCACACCUGCAAGUCGAACGGCAGCACAGUAAGAGCUUGCUCUUACGGGUGGCGAGUGGCGGACGGGUGAGGAAUACAUCGGAAUCUACUUUUUCGUGGGGGAUAACGUAGGGAAACUUACGCUAAUACCGCAUACGGCCUACGGGUGAAAGCAGGGGAUCUUCGGACCUUGCGCGAUUGAAUGAGCCGAUGUCGGAUUAGCUAGUUGGCGGGGUAAAGGCCCACCAAGGCGACGAUCCGUAGCUGGUCUGAGAGGAUGAUCAGCCACACUGGAACUGAGACACGGUCCAGACUCCUACGGGAGGCAGCAGUGGGGAAUAUUGGACAAUGGGCGCAAGCCUGAUCCAGCCAUACCGCGUGGGUGAAGAAGGCCUUCGGGUUGUAAAGCCCUUUUGUUGGGAAAGAAAAGCAGCAGGUUAAUACCCCGCUGUUCUGACGGUACCCAAAGAAUAAGCACCGGCUAACUUCGUG
Molecule: ribosomal RNA, 491 nt
Filed under: uncultured bacterium
Lineage: Bacteria
Description: partial 16S ribosomal RNA
Rfam family: Bacterial small subunit ribosomal RNA
Source: RNAcentral